UCUUGGCUCGAUUUCGCGGCGUUACCGUAUUAUUUCGCCGGUGCUUUAAUGCCUCCUGCAUCCGUACAAUGCAAGUUGGUUACGCAACCGGCCAUAAGAUAAGAAAUCCCGUAGGGCAGUAAAACUCGUAACGUUCCCGAUCGCUUUUAGUUUUCCGUUCUUUGGGUUUGCUCGUUUACUACACGCUCGCAAGCACGCUCGACCUCUCUCUCUCUCUCUCUCUCUCUUCUCUCUCAAGGCUUUCGUCGUGAGAGCGUGCCAAAGAGGAGGAGGAAAGGAGGAAAGUCGAAAAAGUGAAAAAGAGAGGGAAAAGGCUAUCUAACCUCGCGAUAUAUAUGUAUAUAUACGUACGUGGACAAAGACGCGAGAACAAUGAAAGAGAAAGAUAGAGAGAGAGAGAGAAGGCGUGUUCUUCGGUUCCUAUCAGAUCACACCGAGUUUGCCUCUCGUAGACGGAUAAUAGAUAGUAGUAGCCAGCGGGAAAAAAGAUGGAGCGGAACGAAAAAUUUCGACCAUUUUUAAGGGUUCUUGAUAAGGAAAGUAAGGAAAAGAAUUCGUGUCGGGGCAGGGGAGAGGAAAAGGGGGAGAGAAGGACGCAAAAAAAAGAAAACAAAACGAAGAACGAAUCUUUUGAAACAGAAACACAGUAGAACGAUAUAGGUUGAAAAGGAUCGAAUUUUAUUUAUUCUCGAAGACAAAGAAAAAGGAAAAGGAAGAAGGGAGAUUCGAUUUUAUAUCCGUGAUUGAGUUUACUUAGACACUUGUUGUUCGAUGAGACGUUCGGAUAAUCGAAAGCCUGGGAACUUUUUCCUUCUUCUUUUUCCAUUAUAAUAUUUCCUUCGAUAAUUUUCUUCAACUUUUAACGUUUGUAAAAAAAAAAUUCAUAGGAGGACGAUCCACGAAAGAGAAAGAAAAGAGAGAGAGAGAGGAAGGGUCAAGUUAUAUUUCUCGAAACGGAGAAAAGAAAAGGGAGGAAGGAGGAUGGGGAUUGGAUGGAUCUGGACGGCGUGUCGCGUGCAAUUGUUACCGAACGGAGGCAGCGUGGCUGCCCUCAACAGAAUCGGAUCCAAUGAAGUCAAUACGGACAAUAGCCCGAUAAGUAGAUAAUAAUGCAUAAUAUAAUAAGAGAGCACCGACUGGUUGGUAGCGUACGCGAGCCGUUGUGUUGGUAGCACGCGCCACAUUGAGCCGGCAAUUCAAGUUGCUUGAGAGCGGUCUUUAACGACUCCUUUCUACGCGGCUAAGACUCCGCCUGCCGCACAAUGCCGUUUCUUAAAUUUUAUCGUUACUCUCGUUGACCGACCGGUGCCAGUGGAUUUAUGUAACGCGCGGCCUUAACUACGUUUGAUAAGCCUAAUCGACUCUCGACCUCUGAACCCAUUUUCUUUUCUUCCUAAUUUCCUUUUCUUUCCUUUCCUUUUUCUUUUUCUUAUUCCUCGUUCCCUUUGUUUGACCUUCUUUCGAAAACUUUGAACACUCGAUAUCUGGGUAAUGCAAAAGUAGAAAUUUUUCUUCUCUAGUUUUCUCUUUUUUUGCUUUUCAUUCGAAAAUUUUAACUCGAUUUUUCACGAAUUCUUUUUGAUAAAUUUUUCUUUUUUUAUUUCUUCGUUUUCGCUUGGAAUAAUCGUUUCUGAACACACGAAUUCUUUCAAGUAUUCUCUUUCCAUAGAAAUUUUCGGAUUGUAUCACAGUGUAAAGAUACGCGAGUGUCCACGAAAGCGUAAACAGUUAUUUUUUUAAGCCUCGAGGAGACGAAUUUUGGUUAAUGAAGGAAGCUUUGACGUGCAGAGUGCGUUAACGGGUAGUUUAAUUGGAUCAUAAUCGCGUCUCGUUUGAUCACCGAAGUUAAGCUGCGUUCGACACGGCUUUAGCGCUUGCCUUGUGUUGUAAGCUAGUGUCGGAUAAUUCGUAAGCUUCCUGCAACGGUAUCGAGUUUCAUCCGGCAUCGUAGAUACCUGUCUCAAUUACCUGAAAAUAAUUGCAUCGAAUAGAAAUGAUGAAUUGUUAUUCGUAGAUUGAAAGAGACGCGGAAAAAAUUUAUACGCGCUCUGGAAAGAAUUCUUGUGUGCCGAAACGAAAUGGGACGAGGCUCGAGUUAGAUACAAAUUCAUAUAGAAAACGAGGAGUUUCGUUAUCGAUAGACACGUUCCAGCUCGUCUAUCCUCCGUAGACCAGUUCAGUCGCCUCUAACAACCCAUAACUCGUCACCCUCGUGUUCUCCUAUGUACCGACUUUAUUUACAUUGCUCCCAGUACAUCCAUACCCUGUAUCUCGUGUAUUUUCCCUUCCCUUUCUGCUUGUCCUUCCUCCCACUACGCUCCUCCCUCCUUUUCCUCCACCUUCGCCUUCUUCCUUCGUGUCGCAUUAUACCGAUCGUGUUUCCUUUAAAAUCGUACAACCCCUUAUCUACUCGAAUAAACCUUACUUCGAUAGAAAUAAAUAAAUCUUACAUAUUCUUCUAUUUUUAUCUCGAUGCAUCUUCGUAUAAUUACGUGAAUACCUCCGUCAAUUUCUUCGUCCCAACCAAUCCAAACCGAGAUUACUUCGAUUGAUUGGCCCAAUCAAUUUUUCCAUCUUCGACCUCCUCUCGAUCCGAGCAAAGAAAUCAGAGUACCAAAAAAUAGAUCGAUGAGACGCGAAAAAACGUGGUGGCAGCCAAGGAAGAAACGCGGAAACGAAAAAAAUCGUAGAGAAAGAGAAAAAGGUGAUGAAAAGCACGAUUAGGGAAAAUAGCCAGUAGUCAACUUUUGGAUAAGGGAUGAAAUACGGAAGAAAAGAAGUGGAAGGAAAUAAAAAAGAAACGAAACACAGACGGAGAGAGAAACGAAGCUAGAUAGAUAGAAGGAAAAACGAAUAGACUCGGUGGUUGUUCGGAACUAGGCGAGAGGGAAGGAAGGAGAUGCAGAGAUUACCAUAUAAUGGUGGCCCGAGGGCGCAUAAGCUGCGCCACGACGUAAUUCCUUCGUCCCUUUUCAACGAACAGUGGCAACCGUACACACGCGUACGUUACACGUAAGAGGAUCGUCCCAUCCUCGUCCCUCGAGCACGAUCAUCCCGAUUCCCUUAUCCCCCUUCCCUGGAGAACUUGUUGCGAGCGUUGCGUUGUCAAGUCAGUCAAACGUAAUCCACCUACUUACCCUCCCCCUCUGAGAGAUAAUUUUCCUACUACGCCGCGUGGGCCACGAAUCGAAUCGCUACGCAUAAUCGAGCGCGAUAUAAUAUAAUCGAUUGUGAAGUCGAAUCGUUCUUCUCGAAAAUUUCGGAAGCGAAUGGCGGAAGACGAUGAGCAUGCAAAGGUGAAGCUCGCGGAUACGGAUUCCAAGAAGCAGAUGAUGGACUCGAAGAGGGGAGGGACGAGUGUUAUAGUACGCAGCGAUCACCGAUCGGAGGAUCCCGAUCGCGUGGGAGUGCAGGCCGGUGCGUCCCCUCCUCGGAGGAGCUUGAGUUACGUCUCACAUUUUGACGUGUUGAGGCAGCACGUGACUCGUGUAUUUACGAACGGUGGGCAGAGGCGGGCGGAGGCGCGCGAGGAGAGGAAGCCGCGCACACGCACGUGCACGCACAUCGGUCGCGAAACGGCGAGGAUGCGGCGGUGGCCGGUGCGCCGCGCCACGCAUACGAGGAGGCAAUGAACUUCACCUCUGUUCGCGUACGACGACGGGCAACGACGACGACGACAACGGCAACGAGGACGAUGCGGCUUUUACGUGUGUAUAAUGGGCCAUGUUUAUGCCCCUCCGAGCGGUAUAUACUCCGGUGCACGUGAAUAUAUAUAUGUGUGUAUGUAUGUAUACGCGUCGCGCGUAUCCUGAACGUCGUAUACGCGCACUCUUCAACGUUUAACCUGCCCACGAACUUACUAUCGACCUGCUAUCGAAAGUCUCUUGCGAGAUUCUUUCUCCCCUCCUUUCUCUGAAAAGAGUCUCGUUGUAAUUUAUCUCGAAUUAGAAGUACGCGUAAUUCGACGGUAAUCUUUGUAAAAAUCGACGUUUCUUCUCUCGGCGCGAAUUGCUUUCGUUCUUUAAUUACGCAUAGCCCUGGCCACGGAUCGGCACCGAUUUCGUCGAAAUCCUCGAAACCGUGACGAAAAUUUUAGGAAGAGGAAGUUGGAUUGAUUAAUUCGCGUCGAUCGAUUAACCGUCUCUAAAGCGGCGAGCGAACGGUUACAGAGAGAACUCGGUGACUCGGUUGAAAUCCAUCGAGCGGAUGGAAAAGCGCGGGAGGAGGAGGGGGGCGUCGGUCGAUCGAUCGAUAAGAAAAAACAAUCGAUCAGCUCGUAACUCGCGAUCCACCGCGGAACGGUCAGUGGAGCGAGCGUGUUCGCGCACGGUCACACUGCACCGUGCAAUUUUCUUAAGUCCGGCCACUUAUUCUCAUUUACGUUCACGUUUACAUCAUCGAGGCAGUAAAGUGUUACUGCUAGCGCACAGGUGCGCCCUGCUUUUUCUUUUUAUCCUCUCCGUUGGUUGGUUGGUCGGCCGACCGGUCGGUCGAUCGGUCGGUCGGUCGGUCGGUGGUUGCUCGCCUCGGUUGCUCGGGCCUUUUUGUUCGUGGUCUACGGGCACCUAACGAGUCAGGGGCCUGUCAUUAUCCGCUCUUGCUACCUCCCUGGCCCCUAGCUCCUGCUCUCUAUCUCUACGCGAGCAGAUUAUCCUGGAAACUUAUUGCGGUAAACUCGGACAAUAACGAUGGAAUCGAAUGCGUUUGCUCCAUCAGGCCACUGCUCUCUCUCUCUCUCUCUUUCUCUCUCUCUCGGCCUUUUUCGAUUCUUCCCGUGCCAAUUGCCUCCCUGCGAGGCUCGAUUUGUCGCGUGGCCAUUCGGGAUCCUCGCUCCUUCCCUCCCUUCCCCACGCCCGGUUACCGGGAAACGUUUCAAGAAAGAAGGUAGCAACACGAGAAAGUUCUCCUUCUCAAUUUCUUCAUCCAGCUUCUGAUCGAUCCUAGAAACGGUUUCUUCUUCCUCUUCUCUACUCGACCGCGGGCAAAAUACGAGUCAAUUACGGUUCUUGGAUCAUCGAAUUAUAGGAUCGUCUAAAAUUUACGAUUUUUUUUUCCUUUUUUUUUUUUUUAACAAUAAAAUUUUACGUGCCUUUUGAAUACUCGAGAAAUCCAAUUAAAUAAUCCGCACAUCUGAUCACACGCGUCUAUUACGAGUCUGUCGAAAAAGAUUGAUAAGAUAUACGGAACGAUCGGAGCAAGAUUACAACGACGUUCAAUGAUAAAAUUUAAUCGCCGCUCGUCAUCGAACAAGUUUCACGCCUCGUCGCGCGACCGGACCUUGCUCAACAUCGAACCUACGUCGAAUAAAAGUACAACGUCAUCGUGCAACCACUUUUUUUCGCCUCCCCCUUUUUAACGCUAACGCUUUUAUUUUACUUUUAUUUCUUUUUUCUCUUUUCUCUUUUCUUUUUUCUCUCCUUUUUUUUUUUUUGAUCACGGCCGAUCGGCUACGCGGAAAUAAUUACGGUUCGAUAAAGCGCGCCGAUAAAAAUGCACGGUAAUAGCCCUAGCUCUCAUCUCUAACGGGAACUAGUUUACCAGAGAGGUGUAUUUUCCUCGGUGUACCGCGUUAUUAAUCGGCGCAACUCUGGUACGCGCCAACUCGCCCCUCCCUCCCUCCCUUCGCUCGAGGGAAAAAGGAAAAAAAGAGAAGACGGACGGUUCCUAUUUUGCUGAACGUCGUGUAACGUGGAAUCGUCGUCCACGGCCGCCUGUCCUUUUUAACGAUCUAUUAACGUUCGACCCUCGAUCGUGGCUUAUUUCACAGAAAAUUACACGCGACCGGCCGCGCUUCCGCGUGCGCGCUCUUACGCAACGCCGCAGUAAAUCCGAAUAAAUUGCAUCGAGAAGGGGAGGGGAGGAGGGGAGGGAGUAUCGAGCUCUCGUUUGAAAAGUGGAGAGAGAGAGAGGAGGGGAGGAAAAAGUUAGUACCAAUUACUAAUCGCUGCUCGGAUGUGCACGCACGCGUUCGACCUGUGGCUAAUUGUAAAUAUCAUUAUCGAGCACCCUUCUUGUUCCCCCUCAGCCGAGGGGGUUAUCUAAGGUGGAAACGAUCAUCGUUGAAGAAAGAAACGGUGAAUGGGCUCGUAAUUUCGAAAAGUCAGACCCGUUGGAUUGAGGCGAUGUUGAACUCGUGUACGCGCCUCGAGCGAAUCACGACGUCUCUCUCUCUCUCUCUCUGCUUUCUCGUCGUCCAAUUAUCGCGGCCAAGCGCCAACGUAUUCGCGACCAAUGGUAAAUAAUAGUAAAUAAUGGGAAGGACGGGCAUCCACGUGGAUCCGAUGGAAUCACGGUUAGGAUUAGACAGGGUUAUCUCUGGCUGUCAAUCUUCGACAAUGGCCAGUCUGUCCAAGGAUGUGCGUUUAUUGCGUGUUUUCUGCUCGUGGGAUAAAGAGCGAUGGUUUAAAUGGACGCGUUUUUAAGAUGGAGAUCCAGGGACAGUGUUUAAGUGGAAAUUUGAAAGUGAAUUGGAGGAGCGUUUGGGGAAUUAGUUUGGGGAGAGUGACGUAACGAUUAUCGAGUAACGUUGCAAAAUAGAAGUUCGUUUUAUAUAAAUAUCGACGAGGAAGUAGCAAUUGGUGUAAUUGGUAGGUUUAUACGGUAGAAAUCCAUCAAUCAUUCCAGCCAUUUUUAAAUUUCCCUUCAAAUAAUUCAGAUAAAUUAACCCGAUCAUACUCGUGUAACUCUUUCUCAUUUAUUAUUCCUAAUGAUUGGUUACAUUGUACAUGUUUUCGUUCUUUUUCUUUGUCAUCUUAAUUUAACGAGAAUCCGUCCCAAAUAAACGUUUACGCGUUUAAAUGCGUGUAUAAAGAGAAGCACGAGAUUGUUCGAGGUUAAAAUUUUUAUUCGAUGUUGCUCGUUUAUUAACGUUAUUAAUUAAUUAAACAGCAGGCGAGAUCCGUUGGGCAACGUUUGAAUUUUUGAAUCUUGGGUUCUCCGGGAAGGCGAAGAGGAUCGGAAGGCCCGCUAUUUUUACGGCGAAAACAACAUCGAGUCAUCGAACCCCGACGUGUACGAAGCAGCCUUGAGACUUUCGUCACCGGGGGGCACGGCCUCUUAAUACCUGACGUAACCGCACGAACCGCAUCGGAAGGGGGAGGAGGGGCGGCGUGGGUGCACGGUCUGUGCGCGUACACGUGCACGCAUACGCGUAUUCGAGCGAUAUUUAUGGCGCGAGCGACACGCGGAUGGAAACGAAUGCCCAGGAUUCUCCGAUGUUUCCCCGAUAAUCGUCCAUUCGUUGCGUCGAGUCCGCAACGCGCACGUGCGUUCUUACACUCGGAUUAUCCUCGAUCGUAGAAAUUUUCCAAGACAAACUUGGUCUCGAUAUGUUAGAUAACAUUAUCGAACGAGAUUUAAGGAUUCCACGAUGGAUUGAAAGUAAAGGGAAAAUUUUCUUUUCAUCAAAGUUGAUCCGAAUAAAUCGUACGAUAAAUACAUCACGAUUACUGAACAAACAGCUUUCCUCAAGCUUUGAAAUUCUAUUUUAUUUUAAAAAUCCAAAUCCAAACGGGCCAAAUUUCCAAUCAUCCAAGAUCGUUCGAUAAUCUUCAUAGAAGCAUAAAUUUUUGGUCAAUCGAAAUUUCGUUUCAACGAAAAAUCAAACAAAGUUCAAAUUGAAUCGCAGUCCAAAUCGCCUAUCAUUACAUCACGAUAUUUAAAUUAUUUAAAUCAAUAAUAAUCCACGAUCGUUUGAUAAUCUUCAUACAAGCAUAAAUUUUUGGUGAAUCGAAAUUUCAUUUUCACAAAAAAUCAAACAAAGUUCAAAUUGAAUCGCAGCCCAAGUCAUUCAAGAUCGCCUAUUAUUCGUCCAAUAAUCUCGAUACAAAUUUUUCGAUCGAUCAAAAUUUCCUUUCGACGGAGAGAAACUAAGUGAACUAACGAAUCGAGAUGAAAAUCGCGGUCCAAAAUUGCAUCCAAGUGCAUCGUCCUCGAAGCGACACCGUACACCUCGCGAGGAGAGAUCCGAAUCGCGGUUUCGAAUCGUCGUGGCGCGAUGGGUCGGUCGAUAGGUGUGUGAUGCGCGCGCGCGUGUGUGUGUGCGUGUGUAACCUCUGCGUUGGAUCGCGCGUAACCCCUGCGUGUCCGCGCGGCGGAGAGGCGGGGGAAAGAUGGACGAAGAACGAAGGACAGAAGAGCCGCGGUGUUCCCGCCCGGACGAUGCGAAGAGGGAGAAGAGGAGGAGGAGGAGGUCUCCUCCUCCCCUCCCCCUGCCCCCGUUCGGUGUUGGAGUCGGUGUCACGGUGUGGUGUUGGUGUCGACGAGCCGCGUGGGUAACCGGUUUGGCGGGUCCUGCAGUUGCAACGCACGCACGUGUACGUAUCGGCGCGAGUCGUACACGCACGCACACACACGCACACCUGUAAGGGCAGCAGCGUGUGUCCAGCGGCGGAGAGGAUCCACCGAACCCAACGUAUUAUACAGGCCGAGAUACUGGUCUAAAUAUAGCGACGCAUUUACAUACCUAAAGACCAGGGCUGGAUUAAUGUGUAGGCGAAACGGACAGCUGUCCCCUUUCUCCUCGUCUUCACGUCUCCUCCCUCCCUCCUUCGAGAGGGAGGCCGGAUCGGGUUUUCGACAAUCGAACUGGAGGAGGGGACCAUUUUCUUCCUGGCGACAGGUAAUUCUGAGUUUCGAAACACGGGUUACUCGAUAGGAUAUAACAGAUUUUUAACUUUAGUUAGUUUAAUUUUUAAGUUGAGAGCGUAAAAGAAGUUGAGAAGUUAGGGGGAAGAUAAUAUUAUUGGUAUCGUAUUUUGAAGUUAUCGUACGACAGAGUUGUUUGGGAAUGUAGGGGGAACAGAUGGCGAUAAGAUGCGUAACAAGAUUCGUGACGAUCGUAUCGAAUUGAAUUUGACGUUGUCGUUUCGUAUUCAAUUUCUUUCGAAUUCGAGGAAACAAGAAGAAUAUUCUUUUCCUUUCCUUUUUUUUUCUAAUAUUCGUGAUAACUAUCGAGCCAAAGCUCGAAAUCGAACGAUCCAUCCGUGUUUCAGACGGAUCCUGGUCGGACACGGGAUGAUCCGGGACGAAACGAGAGAUUCUCGAGAGAGAUUAGAAGUUCGAGCGAUGCUUCUGGAGUUCGGGACCGAUCCCUCCCCCCUCGGAACCGGCCCUGUCCAUGUCGAUACGCCACGCUUCAUCCCCCGCGGAUAAUCGUUCUUGCACGGCCGGAUAGAACCGGACGCGCGGCUACCGAAUCCAUCGAUCGGGCCAAUCUCUAACGAUCGACGCUAAAAACAAAACAAAAAACAAAAUCGAUAUCGAGUCGAAAGAUCGAACGAAUAAUAGUAACCGAAUAAUUCCCUUGCUAAACAAUUUACAAUCAACGUCCUCCUCGAUCGUCUUUUCUCUCUGAUAUAAAAUCAAAUCUCCUCUCGCUCCCUAAAACUAUCCCACUUUUCCAUUAACCUUCUCCUUAACACAACUUGGUGUGACUCGUACAAUUUUCCCCAGAUCGAGAUGGUGCGCGACACGAACAAGUCUAAGUGGAAGCGGGCUAAGGAUUCACUUUCUCGGCCCUCGGAGUCGGGGGAAAUAAAUGAUGAGCUUGACAGGUCCGCUCGUAACAGAGGAGGAGAAGGAGGAAGGAGAGAGGGACGAGAGAGAAGAAGAAGGAAGGCGAGAAGGAAGGUGAGAUCGGGACGAGGCGGGCUUCGAACGAGGAGAGCCAGAUAUCCUCCCUUCCCCACCCUCUCCUUCUUCCCUCCGCCAUCCCUCUUCCCAUCUCGAAACAAAUUAUCAACGCAUCAAAUAUAACUUAGCUCGGCUACCGUAUUCUUAAGCCGUCCCCCUACCCUCUACCCUCCUACCCCCAACUUCUCCGAGGCCGUCUUUAUUAUUUCUUAUUUACUCGUCAGGUUUUAUUGGCGGGAACCAGAGCCCUCUCUCCUCUUUGGCCCGCCACUUUUAAUUGGCCGUUCGUACGUGCCACCGAUGAUUCGGUGCUUCAACGAGUUUACACGCGACUCGAUCGUUAACGACAUCCUUUCUGCUAUUUCGUUCGAACUCGGAUAUCUUGCAACGGUCUCGGAACAGUUCUCUUCUCCUUCUCCUUCUUUUAUCUUUUAUCUUUCUUUUUUUCUCUCUCUCUAUAGCAAGAUCGAUCGCAAGAAUAUUCUAUUAGCCUCUGACCCUAAAAAAAACUAUUCAAGAAAGUCUUCCUAGAAGUCUCGUCUUGUGAUGCACGCGUUGCUCGUUUAACCGAUGGCCGCGAUCGUUCCACCGUAGGUAUACGAUCCUAGGUAUAUACCUUCCUACCGCAUCAGUAUUCCAGUCCCAUUUCUCGUUAACGAAUGCUUAUCCAGCAGCGAUUUUAUUUAUAACGCGCGGCCGCCAUCGAAGCGACCCUGAUCUUUGAGCGACAAUGAAAAUUAUCCGCGCACGACUCGCGGAUUCCCUGCCUCGUUUUCCCUGUUGCAACCAGAUUUAUUCGACGCGCGUUGGAAAUUAGCCGAGGCAAAUCUCGAUCCUCCAUCCUUUAAUAAACCUUCGAUCCCCUUUCAUCGAUCGAACCUGUCCGCUUUCCAGCCGAACGAAUACGGAACGAGUCGAGUCGUCGAAUUCCCAUUCGUGGCGCGCAACGACGGCACCGUUAUUUACACCUCCUCCACAACUCGGAACGACAAACGCGCCACGCUUCUCCUCGAGGAUGAUAAUUAAAUUUUCCUCCAAGUCGGAAGAAAUUAUUCCCCGUCGAUCGAUCCUUCUCGAAGAUCUCUUCGACUCAUCUUUCCAUUCCUCUCUUCCUCCUCCUUCCCUCUUGCGAUGCCGUGGAAGAAGGCAUCGUGGAAAGAUCUUUCGACCGGAGUUGCACGACUCGAGACGGCGAUUUCCGCGCCAAUAAAAACCUCGCUCGCGCAUAAUUUAACGCUCUGUAGGGUAAUAGCAACCCCACCCAGAGCGGAACCACCGUGCUGCUGCCGCAUGCAACCCCGCGCCGUGAAACGCGGCCGAGGAGCAACGAUAAACGCUAACUCUAUGGAUACACUCUGGAACGAUGCCAGCCGUGCCUUCGUUCAUAAAUCCGGGCACGUCUCGCGCCACUACUCAGUCACCGAAUGCAAUCGUGAUUUCGCCUCUCUAAAAAAAAAGAAAAAGAAAAAAAGAAAGAAAGAAAAAAGAGGGAGAAGAGGCGCAACUUGUCGCUUUGGAGUCGGAGUUAUAACCUUGGUGUUCCAGGUGACGGUGGAGAGAGAUUUUACACAAGUUUAGAGAAGAGAUUAGGUGGUUGGAAUCGGAGAAAGUUUCGGGCAAAGAUUCGGCAGGGAAACGGUGGGGUUUGGGUCUUUUUGGAGAUAUUUCGGGCGAGAGAAAGGAAGGAAGGGGGAGAACGGGUGCUGGGAGGAUGAUGGAUUAGCAGGCGGAUUUAGGGAGAAGAUUGUGGCAGGGGGGGAGGGACGAGGGAAAGUUUUGCUAUUCGUCGUGUCGUGGCUGAGGAAUGGGAUUAUAUUUGGGGAUUAGGGUUAACGUGCAGUUAUUAACUUUGAUAUGUAGCUUAUUUGUAGUGUGCGCUAUUGUUCGUGAAUUGCCAAGGUCAUUUGUAAUCUGAAACACGGCGAAUAUCGAGUCGAGGGGUUGAGAUUUUUGAGAAUGAUGAUAUCAGAUUGACAAUUCUCUUGAAAUUCUUUUUAUUCUAUCCAUUGAUUUUAAAAAUAAUUCACUCGCAAAACGCAACGAGAUAGCUUUUUAUUAUCAUUCAGAGAACCGAUUUUAUUAUAUGGAAAUUCGUUGAGUCAUUCUAUUUAUCGUACGAGAAUAAUCAACUUAAUUAAGAAACAACAAGGAACUCUUGGAAAAAGAGAAACCGAGUGUUUCGAUUUAACAUCGAUCGGUCAAACGAUUCUCAAAGAUUCUCAUCUCCAUAAAAUCGUCGAAAAUCUCGAGAAAAAGAGAAAGAAAUCGAUCUUCGAAAGACAGAUCAGAUCAACAGAACGCCAAAAAAAAGAAAAUCAAGAUGAGAGGAUUCUCCAGGGGAUAUUUGGCACGAGGCAAACGAUGUCAAGAGCAGAGACGCAGGGCGGUGCGAGAGGAAAUUUUCCAGUGGAAAUCUUGCUCCGCUCUUGGCAGCCGACCUUUACGAGAUUCCUUGCAGCGCGCGAGGUUAAUGGCGCAGGAAAGACGCUAUAGUCGCCGGCGUCUCCGGCCUCUUUCACGAAGUGGAUUACAAGUUCGACGGACACGUUUGGUCGGAACGAAAGCGUGGGCCACGUUUGGCCAACGUCCAAACCCGUAUCGCGACGUAGACCUCUCCUUAUCUCGAUAGCGUUAUCGUGGCUCGGCUCGAAAAGUUUGCUUUGCGACGCGCCUUCCACGGAAUCGUGUUGGCUUGUCGGGCAAGGCCGAGGUGACGAUCGUUUCCGAUCCAUACGUCGCGUUAUUGCGGCCUGCCUAACUGUGCAUGGAAUAUUAAAAGUCCUGUCCCCCGCGUUAGAGCCGCCUUAGAGACGCAUGAGACGCAUCCUUCGUGGAAGGAUUAAACAAGCGGCGGCCAUGAACGCUCGACGAACGAGAUAUUGCGUCUCCCAUCUCUGAACAAGUCGCACCGUUCGUUUGCUCGAUCGUACGGUGGAAAGUCGAUUCGAUCGAUGUUAGAAUGAUUGAUGAGAUAUUUUUUUACCCAGAAUUGUAUUGGAUAAAUUUGGGGAAAAAUUCUUGGAAUAUUAUUUCGACCGAAUAAAUUUAUAAAGAAUCUAUAAUAUCGAAAGUAAUAGGAAUAAGAUUUGGAAAAGAUCAAUUAUACAUUAAAUUUAAUUUGUGACAAGACGUUUGUAUACAUCACUGCAUAUGGAGAUAAUAAAUUGGCUCGCUUUUUAUUUCACCUCAAAACUAUUCGAAUCAAAAUUUUCAUACGUACGUACACAAUCGUAACGCCGAAAGUUUUGCAUUGUAGCAAGAGGAUCUUUUCGCCCGACCGCCGCAUGGGGUUCCGGUUCUUACGCAAUCCGCGCGUGUAGUUUCGCAUGCAUAAGUCGCGGUGCUCGAACCAGCGCGUGAGAAGGAGGGGAAAGAGGAAAAGGAGGACGGAGGAAGGAAGGAAAGAAAGAAGGAAAGAAAGAAAGAAAGAAUCGCAUGCACGCACGCGUACCGACGCCAGAAAAGUUUUAAUGACGACGGAUCUUCUUCCCCAUUAUGCACGCGAUAGUCGCGUUUUUUUUUUCCCCCCCUCUCCACCUCCUUCCCCCUCCCUCCUUACCGAUGCUCCUCAAAUAGAGAGGGACGCGCAAGAAAAACGAUCGAGCUUCUUCAUCUUCCCCUUCGUUUCUAUUCUCGGACGAAAAAUCGGGGGCUACGUUUCGUUCGGGAUCGCACUCGUGCAUUUCGAAACUCGCAGCGAUUAUCAGAGCUCGAUUGGGACUCGAGAGAGAAAGAGAGAGUUUCGGCUCAAUCUUUUUUUUUAAUUCAGAAAUUUUAAUUAAUAAAUUUUCGUACCGAUAAUCGAUCAAUGCCACCGCAAAAUACUCGCGGUCCAUCGACUCUGCUCCCCCCUCUCUUCCUCCUCCCUCGCAAAGCGAAUCUCCGCAACCCCGCAUCGUAAACAAAACAAUCGAGCCUCGACCAAACCACAAUUCGAUCGUUCCGCGUCAUGGUUGGUGAAUCGCGCGACAAUAUUUGUCCUGGCGCGAAAUCCCGGCUUGGGGGGGAGGAGAGGAGGAGAGAGAGAGAAGCGUAAUUUUAAUCGCGGCCUCGUUUUGUCAUCUAAUGCCCACCGCGUCUAAUUGGUCGAUCGGUUUGGGCAAAUCGGUUGGUAAUCCGGCCGCGUAAGCUCCUUUUCCUCCGCAAAAAAAAAAAAAAAAAAAACGCUUUCCCUCCCUCCCUUCCGAGCAUUUGUCCGCGAUAAAAAUCGCGUCGCGUCGCGUGCGCGUGUUUUUUUUUUACGAUUUCCACGAUUUCACCGACUUCGAAAAAAACACGCUCGAUUCGCGGAUUUUGGAAGGGUGGCCGCCCUCCAAAUUCCCCGGAACUGUCCACGACGUAAUUGUAGAAAAAAGGGGCGAAAAAAAAGGGAGGCAAGGAUUGCCGGCGGAAAGAAAAAAAGAGGAAAAAGAAAGGGAGGGCGAGGCGAUAUCGUCCUCGAUCACGAUACUCUAGCCAGACGUGCCAUCUGAUAUCCGUCGAUCGCGAUAAAACAGCGGGCGAACGAAACGAGAUCGAAUCUCGGAUAUCGCGCGAUUUAAUAGCAAUUACCGGGCGGGCGUAGCCGACAAAUUGGAACAAAUACGGGCGAGGGCCGCGGGGGAGAAGGUGUGUACGCGCGUGUGAGACGGCGGCGGGCCGUAAUUAUGGCGUACGCCGGGGGAGGGGGAAGGGCCUUGAAAUUUUUCGAUAGCCACCGCCGGUGCCACCGGUAACUCUGGUUUCUGGCUCCCACCCUCCCCUCCUCCCUCCCUCCCUCCCUCCCUCCAGAAGGAGCACGAGACUAGGUCAAGUCUACGUGACUUGACCGCACGAAGGACAAGUCGUACUUGUCCCGCGGCCGACCGCCGACUUACGACUUGCCGCGUUACGACGGCCACGAAAGUAAAAGCCGGGCGGGCGAACGGGCCACCGAUCAUCUCUCGCGCGACGCGCACCGCCGCCGUCUCCUUCGAGACACCUUUCUCGGGUCGGUCCCUCCCCUCGGUCGUGCGGGACAGGUUCUUGGCGAGGCUCGCGAUCGCGAUACCGGUCCUCCGGAUGGAUGAAAUAUCGAGGCGAACGACGUUGAGCGUCGAUUUCGUUUGAUAAAAUUAUGUAAAUGGGGGGAGCAGGGGGAUGAGGGAGAGAAUGAAGAAGAGAAUCACGGUUUAUGUCGAGAAAGUUUUUUUUUAGAAUUGUACCGAUAGAAUCAAGAUAGAUUGUUCUUUAUCUCGGAAGGCAAUUUUCGAGUACAAUGCAUUUUUAAAAAUCGUUCGGAUGGAUUAUUGAAAAUAGUUUUCGAGUAGAGAUCGAGAAAUUGGAAUAAUUGGUUCAUAUGAUGCUUUUUAUUAUAUAUAUACGAUAAUUUCACGUUGGCCUGUUACGUCAGAAUGAAAAGAAGUUUUAUUAUACGUAGUGUGCGUGUAUAUAGUUGAUGCUGAGUUAUUCUCGAUGACACUGCAUAAAAGAAAGAUCUUUUCUCGAAAGAUUCCGAGUAGCACUUGAGACGUAGUGCAAGUGGACAAUGGACUGGAAUAUGGUUGGAUACGAGGAAGAAGUUUGUCGCAUUUACGUAUGUUCUCUACGUCCAACGGGAUCAAUUAUUCAGCGCGCGUAAACCGUCUCCCACGAAGGUUUCAAUUACACGACGAUUCGUAACGAUAUUACACUUAACGUUGGCGAGCAGAACAAAAUGCCAGACUGAUCUUUUACGAGGACAAGGAGAGCGACGCAACGACGAUCGAACGGCAUCGUGACUCGAUUCGAGCGCGUUUAACAGGUCUAAUGAACACUUAGCGUUUAACAUAAAACAACAAACGACUCGUGCCUAGAUUAGACAAGCAGACCUAUACGGCAAAUUGCGUUCCCUUGUCUCCCUUCCUCUCCACCACCUGAUCUUUUGUUUACGCGGCCUAAUGCGAUCGGAAUGCGAAACUUGUCUAUAUCCGUUGCCAAAAGUUUUUUACUGCGCGAUUUAUUUUUCUUUUCUUUUUUUUUCAAAUCAUCGCGGUUUUUCAAAUCUCUUCUUACUCGAGGAUUAUUCCAAAAUCCGAUACGAUAUUUUUCGGAAACGAAAUUGACGGAAAAUAUUAAGAAAAGAAUAUAUACGCGUGUAGAACGAAAAAUUUAUUAAAUAUGAAACAAAUUUUACCUGGAAGACGGGCGAAUCUAUGUCAAAUAACCUAAUUAGAAUUUAAUAAAGUGUACGUGCAAUUAUUCGAGUAGAAUUAAUAUCUAUCCCGAAGAAACCGGACGAUUUAUCUCUCGUUGAAGUUGAUUAAUUCGUCUUCUGCGUGAUUUCUGAUCUUUCGACUCACUCGAUUUCGAAGGGGAGAAAAGAGAAAAAAGAGAAAAAAAAAAAUUGAAAGAUUUCAAAUUCAGAUCAAUGUUGAAGUUCUUCUAUUCAGAAUGGAACACGUCGAGGUAUCGAAACCUCGGAGGCAGUUAAUUAAGAUUAGCUCAAUUAUACGCGUUUAACCCACUUUCGCCUUGGUUGCGCAAAAUCGUUCAACGAUCUGAAACACUGCGACAGAUGCUAAUAACGAUUUCCACCGGUUUUAUAAUAAGAGCGGCGGGCAAAAAGCGCGCGCAACCGACGACCGGCUUCGCCGCACACGAACGCUCUCGCGCGGUCUGCCUAAUGAGCCGCAAUUAAUCUCACAAUUCGAACGUAUAUGUAUUUAUUAAACACAACCUCGGUGACGAUCUCGGCGAGGGAUCGUUCGUGGCGUUGCGAUGACUCAUCAUCGUGACUUUUAUUCCUUUAACGAUCCGUCUUAUUAACAAUCCGUGUUUUCAACCCUUUCGACCGCUUACUCGUAUCUCCGACCAAUGUUUAUUUAACCAUCGUGCGGAUCGUUUUAAUUUCCUCCUCGCCCGUUCGAACGGAAUUAUUUCGCUUACUUGCAAUGCGUACGGAACGUUUGUUUAUCGACGCAAGUAGCCAAGUUGUACAAUAGAAAUGUUAUUCUAAAGAAAUGAUUUGACGAGUGGUAAACAAAUGGAAGGAUUAAUAUUUCUUUUCAGAUAUAUAUUGUUGCGAUAAUUACGAUCAAUCCCCUUUGAUUCGAAACUUAACGUUUAAUAUCGAGCCGCUCGUGAGUGGUCGCAAUUUUCAAAUGCAGUCAGUCGAAAAAAAAGAAGAAGAAGAUGGCCGCGAAAGAGUUGAGAAGGAAGGGACGGUCACGAAUCAGCGUGAGAACGCGUUCAUUGGAAAUGGGGAAGAUUACGAAGUGCGGUUCGAGGGCUCGUUGAAAUCCCUUCCGAGAUCGAUGAUAGAGAGAGAGAGCAGCGCUGCUUAAAAAUAGUCGUUCGAACGCGAUAGUCGUUUAAACGAAACAGCAGGGAAGGCUGAAAUGAGCCAAGAUAACGGUGCAUCGGAGACAGUAUCUGGUUCAAGGGCUGUGCGCAGUGCGCGCUUUUAAGAAAGUCUUCGACCUCGCGGGCGAGAUCGACGAACGUAGAAAGUUCAACGAGACGAUACAGCGUGAUUCGAUCGAUCUUUCGCGAGAUUUUAAUUUUUCACUAUCGAUUGUUAAGAUAUUUAUUUCCGUUCGAAGAGAGAUUAAGAAUAUUCGAAACUCCAAUUCUCUUCCCGUUAAAAGUCGAUGACAUCUCGAGGAAUUAUUGCCGAGUCAACGAACGGAGAUUGAACGGAUAAAAAUGGAAGAAUUAAAUAAAAUCGAAUCGCGAUAACGAUCGAAACAAAGCAAAAUCGGGAUCGAGCGUGAUUUUUCUGAAGCAAAAAAAAAAAAAAAGGAAAGGGGAAAAAAAAGAAUAAGAAAGAAAGGAUCACGUGACUGGUGAAACAAAAACGAAGGCGCAUAACCUCGCGACACGAGCACCUCGAUGGCACGAGUCCGGCGAUCUCGGGUUGGGAGAGGGUGGGAGGACAUUGGAGAGGGCACACACGACGUGCAAGCAGGGAAGGAGGAGGAAGGAGGGGCGGCAAGCCCCGACCAUACGUUUGAGUUGGUUGACCCGGCUCGGCCACGUUCCUACCUUCAUCUCAACUUCGUCCUAAGGAAUAGCCUUCACGCUUGCGAUUUCAUUCCACGCGACCGCGCUGCUUUUAUUCCUGAAUUGACCCCGCUCGGCCCCCGCUCGUCUCCAUUAAUUGAUAGAUCGAAAAUAGGGGAAGGGAAAUAGGAAUCGAUCUGUCUCAAUCAUGAAAAUUUAUUUAUUUAUUUAUUUAUUCAUCUUUCUCUCAUCCAUCCAUUCGAUUCGCAUACAAAUACCAAAGCAUCGAUUAUUUUAAUAAUCGCUAUUAAUAAAAUCUACAAAAUAGGAUCGAUCUUUCACGAUUCGCAACGAGAGAAGUUUAUGUAAAUAAUAAAGUUACGAAAGUUUAAACUUUCGAGCGGAGGAGUAUCCAAGACGAUCGCACGCUUCGAUAAAGCUAUGACCCUGACACGACGAUGAUGUAACGAAAGAAACAUUAUCGAAGGGUUGUGGCCAAUCUCGGACUUGGCAUAAUUCACGGGGAACGGGACAUUUUCCGGUUUUCGAGGAUCCCGGAGGAAGCGCGUCUUUCGUGCAGUUGUUGGAGAGGCAUCGAACGGAACCGUGGAUCCGAGUAAAGCCGGUAUUACGGAGAGGUAGCGGAUCGAAAUAGUGCGGGAAAGGGUGGGGAGGGGGGCGGAUGGGCCGUUUGCGAGUGACGGAGAAGGAGGGAGAGAUUAACAACGGGAGACGGGAGGGGGAAAGAAGAAAGCAAAGGACAAGAAGGGGGGGGAGAGAGAGGGAGGAGAGGGAAGCUCGAGGAUUGUGUGCCUCUGGCGCGAUGUUCAGCUCGUGGAGGAUUACUACCUCUCGAACCGGCGAGGAGGAGGAGAAAAGAGCGGUGGAGGAAGGAAGAGGGGAAGAGGGUAAAGGGAGGGGCAGACAUCACGUCGUCAAUCAUGGUCCAGUUGCUCCUAUGUACUACAUAUCCCCGGCGAGAGGAGGGCGGAGAGGAGGGCAGGGAGGGAGGGCAUGUACACGCUACUGCAUUGUGGCGCACAAUGUUCAAUCAUCUCUCCGUCGAUUCCUUCGGCUUUAAUUGAAGAAAGGGUCCCUCGAAACCGCGCGGCCGCGCGGGGAGGAAUCUCUCGUCCGUAAGAAGAAGAAGGAGCGCGAGAGGAAGAGUGUGGGGCCGGCGGGGAGAGGAGGAAGAGAGAAAGAGAGAGGAGAGAAAGAAACGGAACGGAAGAGGGGAAAAAAAGAAAGCGCCGCGGGGGUGUCGUUGACCCCACGACGACGACGACGACGACGACGACGACGACGAGGACGACGAGGACGAGGACGAGGACGACGACGAUAUUGUGUACCACUCGAGUGUUUAAGUCGAGGCGAACUCGAAGGACCCGGGCCUCGAAGGAACAAGGACCUCCUCAGCCACACUCAGCCGAGUCCUUGGGGCCAUGGAUCAUUAACCAGGGCGAACCGCGAAAUACGAGAUCGCGCCGAAAAUCACGGACCUUUUGAAUCGUGUGCACGCUCCAUCGCCCUAUCGUUCCUAUCCCUCGUGCCCAUCCCUCCCCUCCUCCCUCAUUUUUAUUUCUCUCGAGGAAGGUUCGAGUGGCGAUCCGAGUCGGAGCGAAAGUGCGCGGAACCGAAGGGAAAUAAAGAAGAAAGGAGAGAGAGAGAGAGGGAAACGCGAAAUUUCACCAAUUUGUUGCGAAAAACGCGCUAUCGAUUCCCGGUGCUCGACCUUUCUUUUUCGAAGUAGGAAAUAGGAAGGGGAUAGGAGGGAAUUCCUCGAGUGUUCCUCUCUGCCGAGAACGACAAUGAAUUCUCUCCUUCUCUCUCUCUCUCUCUCCUUUUUCUCUUUUUCUGCAGCCUCAAUUAUGAUCCCGCAAUAAGGAGAAAAAAAUAUCACCUAACGACCGCGACAUUACUCGUAACAAUUAACCCUCUAGAACCUGCGAAGCUGUUCAAGAGAUCGGGGACACUUCCUUCUUUCCCUUUUCCCUUUUUUUCUCCCCCCCUCCCUUCCUUAGAUAUUGCGUCGUUCCGCUCUUUCCACCGAUUGCUCCUCGAUACUCCCCUUUCUCCACCGUAAUGAACCGAGGAAAAUUGAUCUCGUCGUGCUUGUUACUGUUAGACUUGCUUUAUUCGCAAUCGACUCGGUGGCGAAUUCAAUCGUAUCUGCAUUCCCAAUCGUUCGUUCCAAUAUAUCCAUAUAAUACCUGUAUAAAAAAUCCUUUCCACUCGAGAUACAACCGUGUAACCGCAACGAAAUCCCCUACGAAAUGCAACGUUCCAAAACGGGUAGGCCACGCGUUUCCUAUUCCCCGCUCAAAUUCCCUUGCUUGCAGGGAGAAAGCGAAGAGGAGGAGGAUUUCUGUCUGGAAACAACAGAAUCGACGACCAAAAGCAAACUCGGCGUCCAUGUUCCGCCACCUUGAGACUUGAGGCGACUUCCGUGCCCUUCGGGUUGCGCGAAAUGGGAUCCAUUUCGCGAUUUCCUGCGAACACGAUCCGCGGAGUAGAAAAGCUUGGAGGCUGGAGGAAGAGGCUGGAGGAGGAGGAGGAUGGAAUACAAUGGCGCGGAUCGUGGCUGCCGCUUAUGCCCUUCGGUUAUGGGGAACGCACGAAGCAAAGGAAAAAGGUAAAUUGCGUUCGAAAAAACGGAAGAAAGAACACGUUACCCCAUAGACUGUUAUUCGCGCGAGGAGAAGAGGUUCGGAUCUCGAAGGAAGAAAAAGCAGCGUACAGAGCGAACGAAGAGGACGAUGUACACGCACGCUGUGCACCGGCUAAGGAAAUAAUCCGUUAGUUUAUUACGAGGCAGAGAACGAAGCGGCCGCGUGUUGCUCUGUUUUUGCUUAGCCUCGUAAGUAAAACCUGUAACGCGAUCCUGUGCAAAAUGAAUGAUGAGUUGCAUUCGAGAGUAAAACUCUCGAGAGCAACUCUCGAAACUUCUUUUCCUCCCUUUCCUUCUUUCUCUUCUCCUUCUUUUUCUUCGUCCUCUUGCGAUCGUAAGGGGAGAGUAAGUCGAGAGUCGCUCUUGAGACUAUUUAUCGCAAGUGGACAUGGCAUUGAUAAUGACUGUUCGAGAGUAACUUUUCUAUCAACGUAGCGUCCAUUGGCGAAAAAUAAUUUUUCGAUUUCUAUUUUUCUCUCUCACGCGAAAUUUUCAUUUCAUCCUUUAGCGUACGAGAAAAUAAAUCGAGAUUCACCGAGAAUAUUCUUCCCUAAUAUAAGAUCCAAAAUUAAAUUUCAUUCUAUGUAAUAUCUAUGAAAAUAUAUUUUUCAAAUCGUAUCCUCUACGUAGAAUUUUCUUUAUCCGCGUAUAAAGAAAUUUCUCUCGAGAAUUAUUAUUCCUGGCAAGAAAACGUUGCACACGAGGAAAACUUUCAUCAGCGACUAUCAAUAUCCACUAUAUCCGAAAAAUAAUUCUCAAGAUCUCGGCUAUUCUAUUCUCCUCCUACGAAGAAGAGCGAGAAGAAAGGAGGGGAAAGGAAAAGAAAUUUCGGUGUUGAACGGGAAGAAGAAGAAGAAGAUAAUUGCGGUGACCUUGGACGCCUCGCGCCGCUGCACACCCAUAACUGAAUCGCGUUUAACCCCGCUUAUACUUUCAUAACGUAGCCAACGCACGCCUCGAUGAUAAAGUAAACGGUGGCCGAGACGAUGCCACCGUCCCCCAGCUCCCUCGAGUUCUGUUUCUAUUCGCUGCAACGCCUCGCCUCCGAGAUCCUCUUUCUUCGCCGCGCGGCGAAACUCUCCGUUUUAUAUCGGCUCGUUCCACCGUUCAUUAUCUUCGCGGUUUUUCCGCCCGAUUCCCUUCGUCGCCCCACUUGGGAAUUUUACAAUUCGAUUCCGUAUCGAGUCGAGGUUCGUUACGACCGAUUAGAAAAAUUUACGAUUAACCUGCGUCGUAAAUUUGCCGAGCUUUAUACUCCCGCCUAUUCUCUUUGCCCACCGAUUGCGAAAGAUUACCGACCAUCUAAUGGGAAUAUACGUGAGCGAAUCAGUUCCAGAUCUUCCUGGUUUUUCCUUUUUUAUUUUUCUUUUUUUUUUUUUUGAGGAGAAAUAUGGAGAAAUUAAGCGGCCAUUCGAGACCAUUUUUUUCGUAGUGAAAUAUAUCGCUAAAUUUUUAUCUUCUUCUUUUUAAUUAGAAAGAAAGAUAUAUCGUGGAAUUUGAAUACUAUUUCUAGUGAUGUUAUAAAUCUAACGGACAUAAUGAAAUUCAUCACGAGGCAACGUCACUGUGCAAGGACAGUAAAAGGAACAAGAGCUCGAAGCGUUCGUGAAACUCGACAGCGGAAUACAAUGAGAAAAUAUCAGCCCCGUCGAGGAAUCUCGAUCGUCCUCGAAACGACGAGGAUCGUCGAGUUUCCGCCUUUCGCCGUUUGAACGCGAUUCUUCAAUUUGGAGAUAAAACAACAACAAGAUGGAAAUAAACGUAUCGAUCUCGUAAAUGCUCUAACGUAACACGAUACAUUUAACUUUUCCAAUCAACCAUCUCUCAUUCACAAAACACAAUUCUCAAAACAACAACAUCUUCUCUCCAAGAUAAAAAAUUAAUCUAACGACAACUAUCAGCCUCGAGAAUCUCGGUCGAAACGACGUCUAAGAAUCUCCUCGAAACUUUUCCAGUCUCUCAAAGGAGCGAAGAGCUUCGAGGAGGAGGAGGAGGAGGCAUCUACUCGUGGAAAAUCGGCGACGAUCGUCGUUCAGGCGAUUGAAAUCGCUCGACAGGAAGCGCGUAACGCUCGCGAGAAACGAGGCGGGCAAAACCUUGUCCGAGUUUCGAUGUUUGCGCCGGAAGUAGACGGCCGGAAACGGAUGGAGAAAAACCGGAGGAAGAAUCGGAUCGGCCGGAUUAUUCUGGGAAAUAGAGCAAGGAGUGUAUAUAAGAAAAACUGCUCGAUGUAAUUUCGCGGAACGUCGAGAGAGCAUCGCUCGUAUCGUUUCGAUCCUCGACGAGGUUGCUCGACCAAGUUUUCCCCGGGGACGAGGAACUUCCUGGUGUGCGCGCGUCGUCGUCCCGGGGAUAACGCGGAGGAGCGCCGCCAGGACCUACCACCACAUCGCGCCGGUUGCGAAUGUGGUGGAGAGAGGGAGGGAGGGAGGAAAGGAGAGGAGGACUCGUAUGUGUACGUGAGACCUUUGGUAUUACCAAGUCAAAUACACGAGGCGAACAUUGGCCGGAAAAAUGGUGUCGAAGAAGUCAAGGAACCUGCUACGAUCCUCCUCCUCCUCCUCCUCCUCCCACGAUAUCGUUCCACUCGUUUUUCCCCUCCUCACGAUGAUACCACUCGUCCUGUUUGCCUCAAUUUCGAAGAGACGGGAUCACGCGACGUGUUCGUGGAAAGAAAAUGGGAUCGUACCAUUUUUCGAUUUUGAAUUUUUAUAUUCAAGGAUGGAAUAAGAUGGAAGACUUUGUCGACGUUUUUUGAGAUCGUGGUGUACGGUGGGUGGAUCGUUACGUUGUUAUUAGGUUGGUAGGUGAAGAGAAAGACAACGGUGAAAGAGGUGAAGCAACACGAGGAGGACGCAUCUUGCGUCAGAGAUCAACGGCUGGUUGGCAUUUCUGCUGGAAAGUUUACCGUGCAUCUACGAUGCUCGAUUCCACGCACAUGAGAGCGCAUAAGAGUGAAACGCGCACGUCCCUCGCGGUUUCCUGGACUCCGAGACCGUUUCUGCGAUUAUUCACGAGUUUGUUUCGCAAAGCAGGCCGAUGAGUCAGAUUUCAGCCAUCGUCGAAAACCACGGAUUUUGCGACGGAGGGGAUCGUCGCAAAGGGGAUCGAUAAGCUUUUGCACUCCGCCUUCUACUCCACUUCGGAUACCGGAUUAACCAGUUUUCGAGCGCUCGUCCUCCGCUAUCGAAAUAACUGGAAGAGGAGGAAACGAGGCAAAACGCGGGCCUCGUACUCUCGAUCGAAGCCACCUUCUGCCUCCUCCAAGUGUGUGUGUACGCGUUGCGUCCACAAGUUUGCCUCGCGUCCAAAUACGGCGAGGAGGGAGAAGCGGAGAAGGGAGGAAAGGAGAGGAGAGGAGAGAAGGACCAAGAUCUCGGCGACCGAGUUACGCCGAGAGACGCGUGGCUUUGGAUCCUCGAGAGCCGACUCGAAAUCGAAAGCGCGGCGAAGCAGGCUUCCGUGACGCAAUCGCUGCUCUGUGUUCCUGACCUGCCUUCAUUUUUUAUCCCCCACCACCCGGGGAGCGUGGCCGACACACAGCCACCGUAGAGCAACCACGAGAGCGCAUAGAGGCCUCAUAACGACGAACAACCGGUAGAUUGUAAAGCCGUCGUAACUCCCGCAGGAUAAAAAUCCUGGCACACGCUCCACGACCGGCUGUAUCCAGCCUGCACAUCGACCAUCGCCGUCGAUGGAGGUGGAGACACGCGGAUGCAGUGGGAGAAAAAGGAGAGAGAGAGAGAGAGAGAGAGUGAGAUAUUUCUCGGCUUGCGACACCCUUGCGGCAAGCGGAGACCAGCGUUUUCCGCUCCUUGGCCUUAAUUAACAUCUGACACGAGUCCAGCGUACCCCCAACGCCUUUUUUCCUUUUUCCUCCGUUCCUUUCUUCUUCUUUUUCUUCUUCUUCUUCUUCUUCUUCUUCGACUGCCCGCUUGCCAUCACGCCACUUAAUGCCGUUUAAUUGCUCCUCCAGCUGUGGAUACGAGGUCGGGAACACCGGUGACCGGUGAUGCUUGCUUAACCCUGAAACCACGUCGUUUUGCCAGGUGCAACGCGCGGGGGGGAAACGAUAGCAUCGCCGACUCUCCCGCGACGUACGGUCACGCCUAAAGAGACACGCUGGUGGCCGCUCACUGACCACGCUUGUGCAAAAUUUAUUCCCAUUUUUUCCCCUCAUUUGUGGCCUUUUCAUUUCGUUUCGACGGUUAAUAAUUUUAAAGAAAUGUCUUGUCGUAUGAAGUACACUCGGAUCAAAAUUAAUAGACGUAUAUAGACGUUCAAAGAUUUUCGUCGAGUUUCAUCUGCUCGCCAGAAAAGUAUGGAUCAGCUUCACUGUCUGAUAUCCCUGCUAUUUCCAUAAUUAAUAAUCGGAAAUCGAAUCGGCUGACGAAAUAGAAAAUAAAUACGAUCGAGCGUGAUCGGAACAGAACGAUGUUUCGUCGAUGAUGACUUCGUGUGAAUUCAUCCCCCAAUCAAAAUGUUAAUUAUUGAUAAAAUGUGUCUUCGUGUCUUUAAGAGAAUCCUGUUACUAUGACAAGCAAAGAUUCCCUCCUCCCACUUUCUUCUUGUGGAUCCAAUAAGAUUGUUGCAAUUUAAAUCUCUCUCAUCAGAAGAAACAACAAUUCCAUCAGAUUAAAGUUGGGACACGUAAAUCGAACGAAUCAAUAAACAAGCGCCUCCUUUUCUUUCUCUCGAAACCUAUUCGUCAUCCUUCCCGUGACAUUUUACGCAGGUAAUUUGUAUGCAAAACCAUCGGCAGACGGUUAAUUGCGCGUCGCUCGAUCGUGAUUUAUGCGAGCUAAUUAGCGACAAAAGUAAGCUCGAAGUAAGCGGCUCGACUUGCUGCAUGCGUAUUAACGCAUGAUAAAUCCUUAUAAUAUCAGCGAUAUCGAUCUCGGUCUCGGGAAACGCUCCAAGACGCGUCCGUGAAUCGCAAACCGUUGCCGUUUUUCCACGCAGGGACGCUCGGUGUGCUCGGCUCGCGUGAAAAUUUUCAUUGUUCGACGACGGAGGCAACGGUGCAACACACGUAGUAGUAACCUUGGCCCCGAUAUUAUUUGCUAAUCUUCGAGUUACGCGCGGGAGUUUUGCGAUCGCGCGGACAGAUAGCUUUGUGCUCGUCCCUCGAACCAGGAAGGAUCCCGCAAUUGGAACGAAGCAUUCGAAGGAGCCCUCUUUGCGAUGCUUGCGAGGUUAAUCUUUAAAAAACGGUAAUUGAAAUUUAUCAUAUAACGAAAACGUGAACGAAACAAAUGAAUUCAUCGUUUCUUGCGAAAUUUUUCUCCGGCAUUUCGUUUUGAAAAAUGGCUCGAGUUUAAUUUCUAUACCGAGAAUGAUGUUUGAAGUGUUGUUUUUUUAAUUAUCAAUGAAACUGGAGAAUGUAUCUCGCACGUAUAUCGAUGAUGAAUAUCGGAAAGAUCUAGUUUUGAGUUCAACAAUUUCAUUCAAACGAAUACGGAAAAAUAGGUUAAUAUAUAUGUAAAUACAUGGAUGUUUCAGAUAAUGAGUCGUAUACAUUUCAUAGGAUGAAUGAAAAAUUUAUUACACGUAAUUUUUCUACACGUUUAUUUUUAAAAAUUAACUCGGAUAAAUAAAAGCUUUCGAGGAGGAAUUUAGACACAUCAUCCUGCUAUCGUGCAUCGUGUAUGUUUUUGUUUGUUGUCCGUGAGAUUGAGCGGCGGUUGUUAAUCGGGAUCUUUUUACAUUAGAGAGAUUGAUUUUGUGUUUGGAUAAGCGGUUACAGGAGUCGAGGGGUGUAAUUAUUCGCAGGUGGUACGAGGAAGGUUAUUGGUAUAUAUGGUCGAUAGAGUGAAAGUCGGCGGUGCUGACACCGCGUUUCGUAAUGCGCCGUACAAUUGAAAUAGUCGAAAAACUAAGCUGGAAUACGCGUUUACGUAAGUGCGAAGUCGUAAAGCUUGGAACUGUAAAAUCGGCGUAAGAAAUUGCCGGUAAUUAACGUCGCUACCGUCGGCUAGCUGAAUAAAGACUGAAUAGAGAGACUAUUCGAGUUAAGGUCCAUUGGACACGGUUGCCAAUAAGCGCUUAGAGGCUUAAUAAUAAAAAUAUCGGGUAUUACUCUCUCAGCGUGCUCUAAUCACUUUUUUUUUAUAACAAUUUAACCCCAGUUUCUGUGAAAUCUCUUCGAUCCAUUCAAUUCUCGAUAAACCGCUAAAGGAAAUUAAAAAAGGAAUCAAUUUUUUUUAGAAAGAACUUCUCUUCAACGACAAAUUGAAAACCAUUGAAUAUUCCAAACAUUGUUCACCGAAUACACGAACAAUCAAUUUCACUUUAAUAAAUAAUUACUUUAAUUAUCGAUCUUGCUCGAGCAACAGACACCUAUCUGUAUCUCCUGUAACUGGCUGAUCGAUAAUUUACUCGAGCAAUAACAAAUUAUUUCUCAAUAACCAUCCAUUUAUAACUCUUUCUCUCUCUCUUUCUUUGUUUCUCUUUCUACAAAGAAAACGAUCAAAUCACACACAGCCUCGAACCCCAGGAGCACAGAGGGCCCACGUAGCACGUGGUUACUCCGGUUUAACAUCCCGUCCUCCAAUUGCAUCCACGAGAGUACGAGCCGCAACGGUACACACGAGCACGGGACAGCAACAACAAGAAGAAGAAAAGGCAGGAGGCGUACGAGGAUACUCGAAUGAGAGAGAGAGAAAGAGAGAGAGAGAGAGAGAGAAAGGAGGCAGGGUUUUCGAACGAUCUUCCACCUUUAUUGGGACGAGGAAGGGCGAAGGCGAGGCGAGGCGAGGCGGGAGUGGAAGAAGGCAAGAAGGCGCCUCUCGAGAGGCGAUAUAAACGAGGCCUGAUGCAAUUACUUUUACGAGAGACAUGGUAUAUAGGUAUAUAGGUGGCUACCGUGGCAUUAAAGCGCCACUAAGGUAGACAUGCUCGCGCUUUAGUGCUUCUCCGCGCGCGAGUCGCGACCGAUCGGACUCGGCCACGGGCGGAUUUAGCUCAGGGCUAGGCGAAAGUAUCGCCACGGCCGAUCGCUGCUGAUCUCUUCUAUCUCUCUCUCUCUCUCUUUUUCUGCGUGUCUCUCGUUCUCGUUCGAAGGGCUGAAUGGUGAACGCGACACGCUGAACGGGUCGUCGUGGAUCGUGACCCGUUCCUCGAGAGAUAGGAAAAUUGCCAACGCGUUGGUAAAAGGUUAGGGAUAACGUUCGAUCGUUACUGUUUCGCGAGGCGAUGAUUUUUGAGAUAAUCGAGUUUGUAUUUUAAAUAAGGAUUUUCGAGGUUUCGUUUCGUAUUAUUGACAAAUGUCGAAUCGGGAGAAAAAGAACGCAGCUGCAUUAUGGGUUACGCAACCAACCUUUGUUCCAAGAAAGAUUUAUUGGGAAUAGUUGCGAGGACGAGUUUCUCUCUAGCUCAGCGUAGGUUGCUCGCCUAGCAAUUUCAAAUCGCACGAUUUCGUCAAGCGUUCCGCCGGAGCCGUGCACUUCGAAUCGAGGAGAUUUCGAAUCAAGAUUUUCGUGAAAUUUGUUUCGAUCGUAAUCUCGGUUGCGCGAAUAUAUAUGAAAUUCUCCAAGUUGCAAUGAGAACUUCUUCUAUUACACUCGGCGAGUCGCUCGAGGAUUCUCUGAAAGCUAACGCAUUUUCUCGAAAAUUUCCUCGGCAAAUCUACUCUUCCGAAUUCGAACCGGUUAUUCCAAAUUAUUCUCCCGAUCCGUUUCAAAGGUUCAAAGGUUUCGUAAACCGCGUAAUAUUGUCGAGUAGACGAGGGGUUGACGGUAAUCGAACAACGGCCGCGAGCGAGCGUGUCAUUGAGUGGCACGCUCAUACGUAAGCACGCGAUGCCGGCGGAUCAGACAUCACGUCGAGCGGCUCGAAAAGGAUGUCGCAUGCAAAGCGGAUCUUCCUUCCGAUUCGACAAUGGCCGGCGGCGGCCCGUACGCCGGCUGCACUCGAGAUAUGCGCGGGACCGAUCCAUUGUCUACCUGCGGUUUACAAUAAUGACGACGCGGCAUACAGAGAGCUUCAUUUCGCGAUGCCUUUGACCGACCACCGACUGUGAACGGCUACGUCUCGCGACCUCCUGCCGUGGACACCGCCGAUCGUGGUUUCCGUGUCGAACCGGAUAUCCAAUUGCUUUCCGCUACCGUCUUUCCACCUACUCGCCCUAUUCUCUUCUCCUCUUCGCGGAGACUUACUCAGAUCUUAUUCAGAUUUACACGAGUACCUUCUUUUUCAAUCUCUCGAAGGGUGAGAACGUUCGUAUUAUCAGCGGGAUAUCAGCGGUUGUUGUGAAUAAAUUGGUAUUUUUUUUUUCUAAUCAAAAAUGUAGGAGAUGCAAAAAUGUAGGAGCGUUAACGUUCGAUCGAUCGCUGCCCCACUCGGUCAUACCGUGCACAUGUAUCCAUGAUCUAAUUAAUAUUCGACCACUGGUAUCGAAAACUGGGUUAGAUAACCGAGUUUCUCUAGUUUAUGAAUGAAACGUUAUCGUGAUUUACGCGUACUAUGCAUGCGAAUGAAACGCCCGUAAUUCCCACUGUGUCAGGGGGGGAUUAACCGUUUGCAGGCCAUUGUAACUCUCUGUAACAGAGAGAGAGAGAGAGAGAAUCGAUGGAACGCGCGAAUAGACCGCGAAAUUUCAAACCUGCAACCGUUUCAACGCAAAAUUCCGUAGAAAUUCGAUGUAACGGGAUCAAAGAGUAUCGAAAAAAAGAGAACGAAACAUGUGAUUAUGAUUCGACGAAGAGAUUGUUUUUUUUAAAUCGAGAAUAGAUUGCUUGCGAGAAUAUUUCAGGCGGGUGAGUUUCGCGACGAAAUUGAAUUAUCUUCUCUUCCGGGAAUUAGAUUGAUCGAGAAUUUCGUGGUAUAACGCGAUGUAUUUGCAAUGUGUGGAGGAGAAGGAUGAUUUUUUUUUUAUUGCUCGAGGAAGCGUGACAUAUUUUUAAGACAGCUGAUAAUACAGCUGUCUUAAUGGAUUUAAUGGUCGGUAAAUAUAAAGAAGAUUGUAUAUUUCGACUUUGGGAAAUCUUAUCUAAGUUCCUUGAACUUCGAGCCGGGUGAAAUUAAGGUUUGUCACGUACGUGCAAGCACACUGGGGCUAUCAAACCAGUCGAUGGUUUUUUUCUUUUCUUGCAAGGUUACGAGGUAACUAGAAUUAUUAUUUUUGUAACCCUAUUUUAAUCUGUUAUUUGUGCUCGUACAUCUGGAUACGUAUUACAAAUCGAUAGUUUUGAAAAUAGUUUAGACAAGAAAGCACAAGUGUUUGACAAAUAUAUUUUGGUUUUUUUUUUGCUACGUCAUUACAGGUAGCGCGAAUGUUGUUAAACAUUUUAAAUCCGAAUCUCGAUUCGGAAGACUAGCUCGCGCACCCGCAAAGACCCCAGCUGAUGGCGUCGAAAGUGAAAGUAUCGUACACCCGACCCGCAAAUGCAACCUUCCUGUAACCAUAUUUCAAUAGAGGCGGGUAAGAAGUACAAAUAGCCUCCUAAAUAAGCGCAAGAAUUAAGAAUUAUCUAUUCCUGCAUCCCAUGUUUCUUUGGUUUUUCCCUCGAUCGCUUGAUAUUUAGUAUCAACCGUUCGAUCGAAAGUCGAAACUUUCUCACGGGACAGGAGAAAACUUAAUGGUCUAAGAAACGAACCUCUUAUCGGACACUAUUGCAAGAAUAUCGAAACGAACCUUCUUCGUAUAUAUAUCCAUGAAUUACACACUCGUGCACACAAAGAUCCACGAAUAAAAAUUGAGUCGUGUAGAAAAAUAUAUAAUAAUAAUAUCAAAUUUACUUCAAUACCAAAAAUUUUAUAUCCUAAACAUCGUAAUGACGCUUUUCUUCUUUUUUUUAAAUCUAUUUGACGAAACAUUUGCUUCUUUCUCUCGAAUCUUUUUCAACCAUAUAUAUAUAUUUUUAAGUAAAAGAGUAUAAGGACGAAGAUAAUCAGAGAGACAAAAAGAAUAUCAAAUUACAAUACCAAUUAAGAGUCUAACCACUAAAUUGUUGUAAUCACUGCAAAUAUAAUGGUAUAAUACGUUUCAUCCUUUUCAUCCCAAAUAAACAUCUCUUUCUUCACGGAUAGAGCACUCGCUUUUGUUCCUCCUCUUAAUCACUCCUCGAGUCAGAAGC
Molecule: RNA transcript, 30318 nt
Organism: Apis mellifera (honey bee)
Lineage: Eukaryota; Metazoa; Arthropoda; Insecta; Hymenoptera; Apidae
Exons: 2
Source: RefSeq, a predicted model, not a curated record